CAGAGCAGAAGACCACCAGAGCCAGACAGAAGACAACCACGGCGGAGCAGAUGGAGAAGAAGACCACCACGGCCACCAUGGCGGAGCAGACAACCACAGACCGGA
Molecule: long non-coding RNA, 105 nt
Organism: Sinocyclocheilus rhinocerous
Lineage: Eukaryota; Metazoa; Chordata; Actinopteri; Cypriniformes; Cyprinidae
Exons: 3
Source: RefSeq, a predicted model, not a curated record